Molecule: transfer RNA, 73 nt
Filed under: Dictyostelium discoideum
Lineage: Eukaryota; Evosea; Eumycetozoa; Dictyosteliales; Dictyosteliaceae
Description: tRNA-Trp
Rfam family: tRNA
About the family: Transfer RNA (tRNA) molecules are approximately 80 nucleotides in length.
Source: RNAcentral
AUGAGACUAGCUCAGUUGGUAGAGCAUCGGAUUCCAAAUCCGGCGGUCCUGGGUUCGACUCCAAGGUCUCAUA